GACGAACGCUGGCGGCGUGCUUAACACAUGCAAGUCGAACGGAAAGGCCCUGCUCUUGUGGGGUGCUCGAGUGGCGAACGGGUGAGUAACACGUGAGUAACCUGCCCUUGACUUUGGGAUAACUUCAGGAAACUGGGGCUAAUACCGGAUAGGAGCUCCUGCUGCAUGGUGGGGGUUGGAAAGUUUCGGCGGUUGGGGAUGGACUCGCGGCUUAUCAGCCUGUUGGUGGGGUAGUGGCUUACCAAGGCUUUGACGGGUAGCCGGCCUGAGAGGGUGACCGGCCACAUUGGGACUGCGAUACGGCCCAGACGCCUACGGGAGGCAGCAGUGGGGAAUAUUGCACAAUGGGCGGAAGCCUGAUGCAGAAACGCCGCGUGCGGGAUGACGGCCUUCGGGUUGUAAACCGCUUUCGCCUGUGACGAAGCGUGAGUGACGGUAAUGGGUAAAGAAGCACCGGCUAACUACGUG
Molecule: ribosomal RNA, 468 nt
Filed under: uncultured bacterium
Lineage: Bacteria
Description: partial 16S ribosomal RNA
Rfam family: Bacterial small subunit ribosomal RNA
Source: RNAcentral